AACCAGAUGGAAAUUCCCAGGAGGACUACAGUAGACAGGAGGAAAAUCAUAAUAAUUUUUUUAAAAAAAUUAAAACUGGAUACAAGACUGGAUAAUCCAACUCUCUGCAGGUGAAUAUGAUUGACAUAUUAGCUUCUAUUAAUACAUUACCAAGUAACUUAGAACAAAUGAUCACCUGGAGGUUUGGUCUACAUCAACGGUAUCCAAAGUGUGGUCAUCAGAAGGACAUCAUCAGUAACACCAAAGCUUUAGUUAAAAGUGCAAAUUUGUGGGUCCCACACAGAUCAUCUGAGUCAGAAUCUCUAGGGAAGAGCCUAUAAAGGUCAGGAAUUUUACCAGGACUUACUGAGGUACUGUGCGAUAUGCUUGAUAUGGAUUAUGAGGACUAGUUCAUGUAGUGCAAGAGAGCUGUAAGUAACACAUGAGUACAAUUCCCAGUUUACAGAUGUGGCAGUUGGAGCUGAAGAAAUCCCAAUGCCUGGUCUAGCUUCACAGAGCGGAUUAGAUGGAGGUGGAUUUGGAUCCCAAGCAAUAUGACUGCAUAACUUCAACAACUUCAACUAUCGUUAGUGGAUUAAAAGUGAUAUUAAAAUGUGUGGGCCUUUUAGCUCGUCUGAAGGCCUGAUAGCUUAACCUCAGAAACAUCUGGAUGCCUAACACUCAUUCUAAGUCAUCUUUAUUUGCGAAAAGUACUUGAACCAGGCUCUGUUCAUACAGGCUGUCUGAGAGAUAUGAACAGUGAUCAUGCCGGAGUGGACACUGACUACUGUAUAAUACGAAGAUUCACAACAGACACCUGACUCAGAGGAGAUGAUCUCAGGAUGUAGCCAGAUUAGCUUAUAUACAGAAAUGUCACAUGAAUACAAGCUUGAAUGUGGAAGGAAGCAACUGAAUUUCCAGAAGAUCUGAGGCAACCUUCAUUCACUUAGACAUUAGUGUCCAAGACUGUCCAUGACCCACAAUAGCUUCAUUUCCCUGCCUCUCCUGCAGAACUGAUGAAUCUUUCUGCUUUAUAAGCUGGUCACACUAUUUUCUAAAUCUUUUAAAUAUGUAAAUUGGUUUUGAUUCACUCAGUUAAUGGCUGUGUCUAAUGUCUCCAUUAACCUGAACUUCUAGACGAGGGUUAGACCAACUACAGCCAGUGGGCCAUUCUAGUCUUCCUGUUUUUGCACAGCUUAUGAGCUAAGAAUGACCUUUACAUUAUGCAAUGGUAGGAGAAAGAAACAAAAGAAAAGAAAAAUAG
Long non-coding RNA from Canis lupus familiaris (dog), 1243 nucleotides. RefSeq lists it as uncharacterized. The record is from RefSeq and is a predicted model, not a curated record. The transcript has 4 exons. Lineage: Eukaryota; Metazoa; Chordata; Mammalia; Carnivora; Canidae.